CCUACGGGGGGCAGCAGUGGGGAAUAUUGCACAAUGGGGGAAACCCUGAUGCAGCGACGCCGCGUGGGUGACGAAGUAUUUCGGUAUGUAAAGCCCUAUCAGCAGGGAAGAAGAUGACAGUACCUGACUAAGAAGCCCCGGCUAACUACGUGCCAGCAGCCGCGGUAAUACGUAGGGGGCAAGCGUUAUCCGGAUUUACUGGGUGUAAAGGGAGCGUAGGUGGCAUGGCAAGCCAGAAGUGAAAACCCGGGGCUUAACCCCGCGGAUUGCUUUUGGAACUGUCAGGCUGGAGUGCAGGAGGGGCAGGCGGAAUUCCUGGUGUAGCGGUGAAAUGCGUAGAUAUCAGGAGGAACACCGGUGGCGAAGGCGGCCUGCUGGACUGUAACUGACACUGAGGCUCGAAAGCGUGGGGAGCAAACAGGAUUAGAUAC
RNAcentral lists this ribosomal RNA (431 nucleotides) under uncultured bacterium. RNAcentral describes it as "bacterial SSU rRNA". It matches the Rfam family "Bacterial small subunit ribosomal RNA", at positions 338 to 785 of the family's 1533-position model. The record is from RNAcentral.